Molecule: ribosomal RNA, 253 nt
Filed under: uncultured bacterium
Lineage: Bacteria
Description: partial 16S ribosomal RNA
Rfam family: Bacterial small subunit ribosomal RNA
Source: RNAcentral
UACGAAGGGGGCUAGCGUUGUUCGGAUUUACUGGGCGUAAAGCGCACGUAGGCGGAUCGUUAAGUCAGGGGUGAAAUCCUGGAGCUCAACUCCAGAACUGCCUUUGAUACUGAAGAUCUUGAGUUCGGGAGAGGUGAGUGGAACUGCGAGUGUAGAGGUGAAAUUCGUAGAUAUUCGCAAGAACACCAGUGGCGAAGGCGGCUCACUGGCCCGAUACUGACGCUGAGGCACGAAAGCGUGGGGAGCAAACAGG